This is a long non-coding RNA of Zingiber officinale, 816 nucleotides long. RefSeq lists it as uncharacterized. The transcript is spliced from 3 exons. The record is from RefSeq and is a predicted model, not a curated record. NCBI's taxonomy places the organism in Eukaryota, Viridiplantae, Streptophyta, Magnoliopsida, Zingiberales, Zingiberaceae.
CCCGCGCCCCUUUUUCCUCACUGAUCUAUGCCCUACGGCGCUGCCGUUGCCCAACCGGCGCCGCAAACCCACUGCCACCCUCUCCUCUGCCGACGCCGACGACGCCACUACCGCUGCCCUCUCCGGCCACUCUUUCCGUGUGCCCUAGAGCCACCGUCGGCCGAGCCGCUUCUCUGCCCUAGCGCUGUCUUCUUCUCCUCUCACGCGACGGUUCCUUCUCCAUUUCUUUUCUUCAUUCCGCGUGAGAGCCACCGCCGGCCGAACCCUCCUUCUCUUCCUCUCCCGAGCACCGGUCUCCGGCUAGUAUCCCGUGCCUUAGCCGAGCAACAUUACCGCCGACACUCUCCUUUCCCCCUGUGCUGUCAGAGACGAUCAUCACGGCCGAUCUUCAUGCCCUAGCACUGUCACUGGUUACCCUAUGAGGAGUGCCCUAGCGCCGGCUUACCUUUACUCCAGUGGAUCGUCGACCGAGCAAGGGUAUUCGGUUGGUUCCGGCUACCAUUGUGUUGGCAGCUUAUUGUUGACUCUGCCGAUCCAUGGCUUCCUAGCUGUUGAAGAAGAAGAGGAGGUGUUAUUAGCCAUUACAGCUCUAGCUAUGCUCUUCGUGGACGAUCCUUGGCUUUGGCCAACCUUCCGAUCUUAAGUCAUCCUUUGAUGGUGAGCUAUCAGCAAACCACUUGAAUUCGGGAUUUGAGUUGGAUGCGAUCUCUUGGACUUGUUGAGGACGAUUGAUACGACCUGCGUAUGAAGGCGGGUACCUCUUGACUUAUCUUUUAUGAUAAUGUCUUUGGAUAUGCAUAGUAUUUUAUAACUACA